This is a long non-coding RNA of Xiphophorus couchianus (Monterrey platyfish), 411 nucleotides long. RefSeq lists it as uncharacterized. The record is from RefSeq and is a predicted model, not a curated record. The transcript is spliced from 2 exons. NCBI's taxonomy places the organism in Eukaryota, Metazoa, Chordata, Actinopteri, Cyprinodontiformes, Poeciliidae.
UAGCCACGACCACGCUUUGUUCCUCGGACCUGCCCCUUUUGCCUUGCCCUUGUCGGACUGUUACUAUCGCCCUUCUGGAUCUCGACCCACGCCUGUUUCAGUUACACCGCUCUCGCCCACUCCCACGGAUUCUACCCUUAGCCCCGAUCGUGCAUGACCUCGGCCCGUCUGACUAAGGAUUCGGAUCUGGAUUUGGUUCUUCUGCUGCCUAACUAGUUUGUACGCUGCCCUGCAUCAGCGCUUCCCUCCCCAGGCACUUCCUGCCAAGCUCUGCGUCAGCGCAGCAUCCGCGCUCCUCCUGGUUCCUCAGCCGAUCACUUCAGUUACUGAUCGCCAAGCCAGUGCUGCAGCGGACGAUCCUGCGUGCCCGGUUUAAGCUGCCUUUUAAUAAAUAUCAGAGUUUUCUGCUCA